CAGCAGCCGCGGUAAUACGGAGGGUGCAAGCGUUAAUCGGAAUUACUGGGCGUAAAGCGUGCGUAGGUGGUGGUUUAAGUCCGUUGUGAAAGCCCUGGGCUCAACCUGGGAAUUGCAGUGGAUACUGGGUCACUAGAGUGUGGUAGAGGAUAGUGGAAUUUCCGGUGUAGCAGUGAAAUGCGUAGAGAUCGGAAGGAACAUCUGUGGCGAAGGCGACUAUCUGGGCCAACACUGACACUGAGGCACGAAAGCGUGGGGAGCAAACAGGAUUAGAUACCCCCGUAGUCCCUGUCUCUUAUAC
This 301-nucleotide ribosomal RNA is filed under the name uncultured bacterium. RNAcentral's name for it is "partial 16S ribosomal RNA". It matches the Rfam family "Bacterial small subunit ribosomal RNA", at positions 509 to 807 of the family's 1533-position model. The record is from RNAcentral.